This 998-nucleotide ribosomal RNA is filed under the name Heterosigma akashiwo. RNAcentral describes it as "partial Bacterial large subunit ribosomal RNA". It matches the Rfam family "Bacterial large subunit ribosomal RNA", at positions 897 to 1885 of the family's 2925-position model. Lineage: Eukaryota; Raphidophyceae; Chattonellales; Chattonellaceae. The record is from RNAcentral.
UGGGGGUAAAGCACUGUGUCGGCUAGGGGGUCAUCCCGACUUACCAACCCUUUGCAAACUCCGAAUACCAAUGAGAACUAUCCGGGAGACACACGGCGGGUGCUAACGUCCGUCGUGAAGAGGGAAACAACCCAGACCGCCAGCUAAGGUCCCAAAAUAUUGCUAAGUGGGAAACGAAGUGGGAAGGCUAAAACAGUCAGGAUGUUGGCUUAGAAGCAGCCAUCAUUUAAAGAAAGCGUAAUAGCUCACUGAUCGAGUCGUCCUGCGCGGAAGAUGUAACGGGGCUAAGCAAUAUACCGAAGCUGCGGAUACGUGUUUACACGUAUGGUAGGGGAGCGUUGUGUAAGUGGAUGAAGGUGGAUUGAGAAGUCUGCUGGACAUAUCACAAGUGCGAAUGCUGACAUGAGUAACGAUAAUGGGAGUGAAAAACUCCCACGCCGGAAGACCAAGGUUUCCUAUCCCAUGCUAAUCAGGGUAGGGUAAGUCGGCCCCUAAGGCGAGGCGGAAACGCGUAGUCGAUGGGAAACGGAUUAAUAUUUCCGUACUUGUUAUAUCAGUGAAGGGGGGACGGAGAAGGUUAUGCUAGCUUGGCGUUGGUUGUCCAAGUGAAAGUGCGUAGGGUUGAUUUUUAGGAAAAUCCGGAAAUCUACAUGCCUGAGACACGAGACGAGACACUACGGUGUUGAAGUAGCAAAUACCCUGCUUCCAGGAAAAGCCUCUAAACUUAUGAUAUAGCGAACCGUACCCCAAACCGACACAGGUGGUCAGGUAGAGAAUACUAAGGCGCUUGAGAGAACUCGGGUGAAGGAACUCGGCAAAAUUGUACCGUAACUUCGGGAGAAGGUACGCCUCCUAUUGUGAUUGCACUUGCUGCAUGAGCGAUGGGAGGCCGCAGUGACCAGGAGGCUGGGACUGUUUAUUAAAAACACAGCACUGUGCAAACACGAAAGUGGACGUAUACGGUGUGACGCCUGCCCGGUGCCGGAAGGUUAAUUGAU